CCUUCCCUUUACUGAGACAUGCAGCAGGACUCAGCUAUGAUCCUGGCACAGGGUUAUUUGGCUGGUGCGUCAUGUUAUGAGUUCAGCUGUGUCAAGUAAACUCUUGUGGGAUAAAGCCAGCUGACUCAGCGGGCAUCUGAGGAAGACAGCGUCCAGGACGGCAAGGGAAACUUCGUUAUCAAAGAGCCAUUGAGUGAUAGCAAGAAAUCAAUGGAGGCCCACAAGGUAAAUUCAUCUUAAUUUUGUGUUUUCAUAUGAGCAGAAAUGAGAGAAAAUGCCUAAAUCAUUUGCAGCAGUGAGUGACAACAGAGGUGAAUAGAAACAUGUGAAUACUCCUUAAGACAACCCCUCCCAUCCCUAGGGAAACUGCCAUGAUGACCCACUGUCACUGAUACUCUUUUAUUUAAUUCCUUCUGGCAUGCCAGGGUGGAGAAUAGACUAAGCACCCGCUGUUCCACAUUUUAACAUAGAAGGCUUAACGUACUAAUUUUCUAUCACUGUGUAACAAACGACCACAGACUAGUAGCUUUAAACAACACCUAUUUGUUA
Molecule: long non-coding RNA, 549 nt
Filed under: Camelus dromedarius (Arabian camel)
Lineage: Eukaryota; Metazoa; Chordata; Mammalia; Artiodactyla; Camelidae
Description: lncRNA (ENSCDRG00005007225.1)
Source: RNAcentral